UAAACUGGAGGAAGGUGGGGAUGACGUCAAGUCAUCAUGGCCCUUACGACCAGGGCUACACACGUGCUACAAUGGCGCAUACAAAGAGAAGCGACCUCGCGAGAGCAAGCGGACCUCAUAAAGUGCGUCGUAGUCCGGAUUGGAGUCUGCAACUCGACUCCAUGAAGUCGGAAUCGCUAGUAAUCGUGGAUCAGAAUGCCACGGUGAAUACGUUCCCGGGCCUUGUACACACCGCCCGUCACACCAUGGGAGUGGGUUGCAAAAGAAGUAGGUAGCUUAACCUUCGGGAGGGCGCUUACCACUUUGUGAUUCAUGACUGGGGUGAAGUCGUAACAAGGUAACCGUAGGGGAACCUGCG
Molecule: ribosomal RNA, 358 nt
Filed under: Salmonella enterica subsp. enterica serovar Typhimurium var. 5-
Lineage: Bacteria; Pseudomonadati; Pseudomonadota; Gammaproteobacteria; Enterobacterales; Enterobacteriaceae
Description: bacterial SSU rRNA
Rfam family: Bacterial small subunit ribosomal RNA
Source: RNAcentral